Cavia porcellus (domestic guinea pig) is the source of this 405-nucleotide non-coding RNA. NCBI's taxonomy places the organism in Eukaryota, Metazoa, Chordata, Mammalia, Rodentia, Caviidae. The record is from the annotation of a RefSeq genome assembly.
AUGCUCUCAGUGACCCUCCUCCUGCUUGGAAUGCCUCUCACCUUGAGAGAAGGUGGAGCCCAGUCAGUGGCCCAGCCUGACCGCCAUGUCACUGUCACUGAAGGACACGCUCUCGUGCUGAAAUGCAACUAUACCUAUGGUGCAACACCUUACCUCUUCUGGUACAUCCAGCAACCUGAAAAAGACCUCCAGCUCCUCCUGAAAUAUGUUCCAGGGUCAUCUGUGGUUAUAAGCAACAGAGAUUUUAAGGCUGAGUUUAAGAAGAGUGAAACCUCCUUUCACCUGCAGAAAUCCUCAGCCCAGUGGAGCGACGCGGCCAUGUACUUCUGUGCUCUGAGUGACACAGUGCCUGAGACUGCAGGGGGAGCCGAACACAAACUUCUAGAAACACAGGACUUUCUGUGA